This 274-nucleotide ribosomal RNA is filed under the name uncultured bacterium. RNAcentral describes it as "partial 16S ribosomal RNA". It matches the Rfam family "Bacterial small subunit ribosomal RNA", at positions 523 to 796 of the family's 1533-position model. The record is from RNAcentral.
AUACGUAGGUCCCGAGCGUUGCGCGAAAUUACUGGGCGUAAAGGGUCCGUAGGCGGUCUGGUAAGUGGAAGGUGAAAGCCUGGGGCUCAACUCCAGAAUUGCCUUCCAAACUGCCGGACUUGAGGCAGGGAGAGGUCGGCGGAAUUCCCGGUGUAGCGGUGAAGUGCGUAGAUAUCGGGAGGAACACCAGUGGCGAAGGCGGCCGACUGGAACUGUCCUGACGCUGAGGGACGAAAGCCAGGGGAGCGAACCGGAUUAGAAACCCCAGUAGUCC